RNAcentral lists this ribosomal RNA (253 nucleotides) under uncultured bacterium. RNAcentral describes it as "partial 16S ribosomal RNA". It matches the Rfam family "Bacterial small subunit ribosomal RNA", at positions 524 to 776 of the family's 1533-position model. The record is from RNAcentral.
UACGGGGGGGGCAAGCGUUAUCCGGAUUCACUGGGUUUAAAGGGUGCGUAGGAGGGCAGGUAAGUCAGUGGUGAAAUCUCCGGGCUUAACUCGGAAACUGCCGUUGAUACUAUCUGUCUUGAAUAUUGUGGAGGUGAGCGGAAUAUGUCAUGUAGCGGUGAAAUGCUUAGAUAUGACAUAGAACACCGAUUGCGAAGGCAGCUCGCUACACAUAUAUUGACUCUGAGGCACGAAAGCGUGGGGAUCAAACAGG